GAUCAUGGCUCAGGAUGAACGCUAGCGGCAGGCUUAACACAUGCAAGUCGAGGGGCAGCAUAAUGGAUAGCAAUAUCUAUGGUGGCGACCGGCGCACGGGUGCGUAACGCGUAUGCAACCUACCGUUUAACAGGGGGAUAACACUGAGAAAUUGGUACUAAUACCCCAUAAUAUCAUAGAAGGCAUCUUUUAUGGUUGAAAAUUCCGAUGGUUAGAGAUGGGCAUGCGUUGGUA
RNAcentral lists this ribosomal RNA (234 nucleotides) under uncultured bacterium. RNAcentral's name for it is "partial 16S ribosomal RNA". It matches the Rfam family "Bacterial small subunit ribosomal RNA", at positions 15 to 241 of the family's 1533-position model. The record is from RNAcentral.